AAGGGCGUCCUGAAACAAAUUAAUAAAUGGAGAAUAUCAAAAUACUGAACAAAUGUGUAAUUUCAAAUUCAUAAUACAUAAUUCAGCUUGUCUGUACAAGUACUAAGAGAUUGGUCCUAAAUGAGAAAGAAAAUGUUUAGUCCACAAUGUGGUUAUCAGACAGGUAUCACCAGCAAAACCAUCUUCUGGUAAAUUCUGUAAAUAUUACAGCCUCGUUCGGAUGUUUUUCCGUAAUCUCUUUGCGACAUGGUUUAUGAAAAAAGCAUAUGAACAGACAGGAAAUUUAGGCUUGUUUUUUCGAACCAUGCUGAAAAUGCUUUUAAUCGCCGUGCUGACUAAGAGGUAACUGGAGUCUCCACUUUGUUUCCCACUGCUGUGUGUGCGAGGGAAUAAUCGCCGUGUUGACGAAGAGGGUGCUGUGGAAAGCACUACCAGGACCGGCGACCAUGGAACCAUCCCAACCAAGCCUCUGAGGGUGUGGAGCAAUUUGGGCUCCACCCUCGUUCCUUUCUGCAAAGACAACUCCGAUUACGGGGGAGGGCCGUCGCUGUCCGUGCCGUCCGUGGAGUGUAGAAGUUACCGCCGUAUGUUAUGCUGAUGUCGUUUUAUCAAAGUAAGACUUUUCCUUUUUCUAUUAGUGUUACACAAGUAGAGAGGAUCAGGGCGUAGGUGUCGUACCCCGCUCCCGCGGUUACUCUCCAUCUUCUGUUGGUAGAGAGCGUAAGACAGUUGAGUUGAGCUGCCCAGUGACGCAACGGUUAGCGCCUGUCACCAAUACAGUGAAGGUUGGCUGCUCAGAGUUCAUUUCUCGUCUCGGGUACGCUGUUCUUUCUCUGCACGUGGCAUCUGUUUACAGGGCUGGCUGCUUGCCGUAAUAUAGCCUCAGUUGCUGGCACGGCGUAAAAAACCAACCCACCCCCCACAGUUGAGUUGAACUUUUAAGGCGUGUAUGCAGCAUUGCUAAAAGUUGAAAAGCACGUGGACUUUUUGUGUAGCAAGAAACAGUGCUCUUGAGAACUUUGUCUUUUUGAAUGUAUAUUUAUUAACGUGCUUAGAAAGCUGUAGUGGAUUAAGUUAGCAGUUUAGGAAACUGCAGAAGACCAGCCUGCGUGCGGUCUUAGGAUUUGCAUUUAAUUUCAUUAAGUGUGCUGUGUUAAUUUGGAUAUUGUUAUUGUAUACGAGUGCAAGAGUAGAGUGUAAGCUGUUCAUUCUGGAAGUUUCGUGUGUAAUAUUAUUUGGACUUCCUAAACCGAAGUGAUCUCGUGUUUCGUUAUUUGAAAGAAUGCGCAAUGUCCGAGUGCUUCUAUUCUCACCCUGAAAAAGAAACAAAUAUAUUACAACUAUGUUAAACUAUAUUAAGUGUCCAAAACUGACUGGUCUGCAGAAUCACACAUUUUUAAAUCACAAGUUGACCUUCAAAUAAAAAAGCUAAAAGUAAGACGAAUCUGGAUAGUGAUUAAGUUAAGUUAAAAAAAAUUACUGUUAACAUUAAUCAUAUAUAAAUCUGUAGACUCCUACACAUCUCUCUCACAUUUUUGUUUCCAGGUUGAACACACAAUAUGCUCUCCUUUGUGAAAAGAAAAAAAAAAUUAAAAUGGAACAUUUACUUUUUUAAAAUUUCACUUCCAGAAUACCACUACUAUUUGAGGAAAAUGUUACACAUCUGUAUCAAAAUGAUUUUCAUCUCACCCUUGUUUUAUUAAAAUUUGUUUAUAAAAUUAUGAAUGAUUGCUCCAAAAUUCAAUGUGCUGAUAAUGCUUAACAUUACCAUGGAUUAUACACAGCCACAGAAAUUUUACUACAGGAAAACAAAACAACUUAGACAAAUAGCUUAAGUUUAUACUUUCAAUUGUUUUUAUGACAUGGCUACCGCAGCUAAAAUGUGUAACGAUGUGUAGUACUGUUACAGAAAUGAACAUCUGUAAUGCUACACUGCUAGGCCUAAGCUCUGCCGAUGCCAUCUGCUCUUGUGAACUCUUUGUUACACAAAGAUAAAAACAAAAGCAAAACCAAAAAAAAAA
Molecule: long non-coding RNA, 2021 nt
Filed under: Pomacea canaliculata
Lineage: Eukaryota; Metazoa; Mollusca; Gastropoda; Architaenioglossa; Ampullariidae
Description: uncharacterized LOC112572626
Source: RNAcentral